UACAGAGGGGGCAAGCGUUAUUCGGAAUUAUUGGGCGUAAAGGGCGCGUAGGCGGCUUUGCAAGUGACGGGUGAAAUCCCUCGGCUUAACCGAGGAACUGCCUGUCAAACUGCAUGGCUUGAGACUGGGAGAGGUGAGUGGAAUUCCCAGUGUAGCGGUGAAAUGCGUAGAUAUUGGGAGGAACACCAGUGGCGAAGGCGGCUCACUGGACCGGUUCUGACGCUGAGGCGCGAAAGCGUGGGGAGCAAACGGG
RNAcentral lists this ribosomal RNA (253 nucleotides) under uncultured bacterium. RNAcentral's name for it is "partial 16S ribosomal RNA". It matches the Rfam family "Bacterial small subunit ribosomal RNA", at positions 524 to 776 of the family's 1533-position model. The record is from RNAcentral.